AACGCACGAGACCUGCGGACCUGCGGAGGGAUCAUUAAAGAGUUUAACUACUCAAACCAUUGUGAACCUUACCUCAACCGUUGCUUCGGCGGGCGGGCCCGGGCCAAGCCCGGCGCCCCCCCGGCCCCUCGCGGGCGCCCGCCGGAGGUUAACCGAACCCUUGAAUUGUAUGGCCUCUCUGAGUCUUCUGUACUGAAUAAGUCAAAACUUUUAGCAACGGAUCUCUAGAUCGGAAGAGCA
Molecule: unclassified non-coding RNA, 240 nt
Filed under: soil metagenome
Description: partial contains 5.8S ribosomal RNA, internal transcribed spacer 2, and large subunit ribosomal RNA
Source: RNAcentral